GGGUAUUAUUAAGGUGAGACUUCUGUAGCCUUUUCAAUAAAGACCAGAAUUUUGGAGUGCCUUCAACCUUAAUCAUUGAUCUUUAAUUCUUAUUAAGUCAACUGCCCACCUUUUAAAGACUGAGGCCCAGGAAGAGUAAGUUUCUCUGAGACAAUGCAUACAGUACAGUGCUUCUUGGGUAUUGGCUCUAAGACCAGAUGCAAAGAAAGGCUAAAAUCCCAUUUCAUUGUUCAUUAGGUGAGAACCCUUUGUUAAGCUGUGUAACCUCUGUGCAUAGUUUCCUCAUCAGCAAAGUCAGAAAAAGUAUGUACCUGAAGGACUGAUUGUAAGGCUGGGAUGAGAGAAUCCAUGUGAUCAGCCCUCACCAACAGGUGCUGCCCAGUUCAUGAGUGCUGCUGCUGUCCUGCCCAAGUACCCAGCUUGCAGAGUGCCGGAGUUAGAGUCCCAGGGGUGUUCUCCACAGCUGCAUGCUUGAUCCAGGCCUAUCAGAUAUAUUCCAUUGAAAGUCCUCAUUCUCAAAUUUAAAACAAAGACUUUUUGUGUACCUCAAUAGCAAUGCACACACAGUUGGCUUCACAAACAUAUUGUACAUUCCUUUUUUUCAUAUUUAUUCAACAAAUGUAUAUUGACUACUCACCGUGUGACAGGUGUUAUUUGUUGGCGGAACCAGGCAUCAUCAGCAAACAAAACUGACAAAGCUUCCUGCCCUCUGUGGAAGGCAUCUGAGGAAGAGACUGGAUUUUGUAGCAACAUGUUAUUCUCAUUAUAAACUUUAUCAUUGGAAUACUAAAGCCAAAUCAUCCCCCAUCUCCUUGAUCGGAUACCCACCUAAUCUAGGCAGCUACACAAUUGUGAGAGCCUUUGUUUUUUUCUGCUGAAACAUCCUUAAAAAGAUACCUCACAACCCAAGAUUUGACUUUUCUUAAAUAUGAUUUUUAAUUUUUUUCAUUUCUAUCUAGAGAUUUAAUUGGAAAUGGAAAAUCAUCAAUUUUCCAAUUAAAUGUCUGUUCCAAUCAACAUUAUACCUUUUAGGUUGCCAUUGUCAUUUUUAAG
RNAcentral lists this long non-coding RNA (1053 nucleotides) under Pan troglodytes (chimpanzee). RNAcentral's name for it is "long non-coding RNA NONPTRT006031". Lineage: Eukaryota; Metazoa; Chordata; Mammalia; Primates; Hominidae. The record is from RNAcentral.